GGGGUUGUGGCUCAGUGGUAAAGCGCUCGCCUAGCAUGUGUGAAGCACUGGGUUCAAUCCUCAGCACCA
Molecule: transfer RNA, 69 nt
Filed under: Ictidomys tridecemlineatus (thirteen-lined ground squirrel)
Lineage: Eukaryota; Metazoa; Chordata; Mammalia; Rodentia; Sciuridae
Also listed under: 1 other name
Description: Spermophilus tridecemlineatus (thirteen-lined ground squirrel) tRNA
Rfam family: tRNA
About the family: Transfer RNA (tRNA) molecules are approximately 80 nucleotides in length. Their secondary structure includes four short double-helical elements and three loops (D, anti-codon, and T loops).
Source: Rfam by way of RNAcentral